AAUCGAACCCGGAGAUAGCUGGUUCUCCUCGAAAUAGCUUUAGGGCUAGCCUCAUACAAGUCUGCCGGAGGUAGAGCACUGAAUUUCCGCGGGGGCGUCAAAGCCUACCAAAGAAUAUCAAACUCCGAAUGCCGGACAGAUGGUGUAUGGGAGUCAGACUGUACGAGAUAAGUUGGACAGUCAAAAGGGAAAGAGCCCAGACCGCCGGCUAAGGUCCCAAAGUGGGUGUUAAGUGGAAAAGGAUGUGGGAUCUCUAAGACAACCAGGAUGUUGGCUCAGAAGCAGCCAUUCAUUAAAAGAGUGCGUAACAGCUCACUGGUCGAGAGGUCCUGCGCCGAAAAUGUCCGGGGCUGAAACACCACACCGAAGCCGCGGAACCCGUAAGGGUUGGUAGAGGAGCAUUCUUAGGGGAGCGAAGCAUUACCGUAAGGGGAUGUGGACUGCUAAGAAGAGAGAAUGCCGGAAUGAGUAGCGAGAGCAAGGUGAGAAUCCUUGCGGCCGAAUAUCCAAGGUUUCCAGAGUAAAGCUGAUCUGCUCUGGGUAAGUCGGGGCCUAAGGAGAGGCAGAGAUGCGUAUCCGAUGGACAGCAGGUUUAAGAUUCCUGCACCCCUUGUUAUCAGAACUGCGGGGACACGGGAAGGGAAGCAGAGCCGGGAAUGGAAAGCCCGGUGCAAGCGAAGUAGUCGCAGGGUUGGAAAAUCCGCCCUGCAUAAGACGAAGGCGUGAUGCGGAGCGAAAUGAAGUAGUGAAGCUGCGGCCCCUUCCUGUCGAGAAAAGCCGCUAUCGUGUAGCAAGGGCCCGUACCGUAAACCGACACAGGUGGAUGAGGAGAGGAUCCUAAGGCCGGCGGGAGAAGUGUUGUUAAGGAACUCGGCAAAAUGACUCCGUAACUUCGGGAGAAGGAGUGCUGCGCAAGCAGCCGCAGAGAAAUGGCCCAAGCAACUGUUUAGCAAAAACACAGGUCUAUGCGAAACCGAAAGGUGAGGUAUAUGGGCUGACGCCUGCCCGGUGCUGGAAGGUUAAGGGGAGAGGUUAGCGCAAGCGAAGCUUUGAACUUAAGCCCCAGUAAACGGCGGCCGUAACUAUAACGGUCCUAAGGUAGCGAAAUUCCUUGUCGGGUAAGUUCCGACCCGCACGAAAGGCGUAAUGAUUUGGGCACUGUCUCAACAACACACCCGGUGAAAUUGAAAUACCAGUGAAGAUGCUGGUUACCCGCGCCAGGACGGAAAGACCCCAUGGAGCUUUACUCCAGCCUGAUACUGGGAUUCGGUAUUGCAUGUACAGGAUAGGUGGGAGGCUAAGAACUCAUGGCGCCAGCCGUGAGGGAGCCGGUGUUGGGAUACCACCCCUGCAGUACUGGGUUUCUAACCUGCGCCCGUGACCCGGGCGGGGGACAAUGUCAGGCGGGGAGUUUGACUGGGGCGGUCGCCUCCGAAAGGGUAUCGGAGGCGCUCAAAGGUUCCCUCAGAAUGGUUGGAAACCAUUCGAAGAGUGCAAAGGCAGAAGGGAGCUUGACUGCGACACCGACGGGUGGAGCAGGUACGAAAGUAGGACUUAGUGAUCCGGUGGUAUAAAGUGGGAUUGCCAUCGCUCAACGGAUAAAAGCUACCCUGGGGAUAACAGGCUUAUCACUCCCAAGAGUUCACAUCGACGGAGUGGUUUGGCACCUCGAUGUCGGCUCAUCGCAUCCUGGAGCUGUAGCAGGUUCCAAGGGUUGGGCUGUUCGCCCAUUAAAGCGGUACGCGAGCUGGGUUCAGAACGUCGUGAGACAGUUCGGUCCCUAUCCGGCGCGGGCGUAGGAUAUUUGAGAGGAGCUGUCCUUAGUACGAGAGGACCGGGAUGGACGGACCGCUGGUGUAUCUGUUGUACUGCCAAGUGCAUCGCAGAGUAGCCAAGUCUGGAAGGGAUAAACGCUGAAGGCAUCUAAGCGUGAAGCCCCCCUAAAGAUAAGAUUUCCCAUACCGAAAGGUAGUAAGACCCCUUGAAGACGACGAGGUAGAUAGGGCAGAGGUGGAAGUGUGGUAACGCAUGGAGCUGACUGUUACUAAUCGGUCGAGGCUUUAACC
This 2066-nucleotide ribosomal RNA is filed under the name human gut metagenome. RNAcentral's name for it is "bacterial LSU rRNA". It matches the Rfam family "Bacterial large subunit ribosomal RNA", at positions 831 to 2925 of the family's 2925-position model. The record is from RNAcentral.